AUUGAACGCUGGCGGCAGGCCUAACACAUGCAAGUCGAGCGAGCGGCGGACGGGUGAGUAAUGUAUGGGGACUGCCCGAUAGAGGGGGAUAACUACUGGAAACGGUGGCUAAUACCGCAUACUAUCGGAUAAACCAUUUGGGAUUAGCUAGUAGGUGGGUUAAAGGCUCACCUAGGCGACGAUCUCUAGCUGGUCUGAGAGGAGGAUCAGCCACACUGGGACUGAGACACGGCCCCGACUCUGCCGGAGGCGGCAUAGGGGAUUAUUGCACAUUGGGCGCAGUCCUGAUGCAGCCAUGCCGCGUGUAUGAAGAGGGCCUUGGAGUGGUAAAGUCCUUUCAGCGGGGAGUCGUUACCCGCAGAAGAAGCACCGGCUAACUCCGUGCCAGCAGCCGCGGUAAUUC
This 403-nucleotide ribosomal RNA is filed under the name uncultured bacterium. RNAcentral describes it as "partial 16S ribosomal RNA". It matches the Rfam family "Bacterial small subunit ribosomal RNA", at positions 30 to 526 of the family's 1533-position model. The record is from RNAcentral.